UCUGCUAUCUGGAACCUGGAGGGGCGCAAAACUAAAUUGAGUGGGUCAGUAAAACAAAGUUUUUCGAAAAUAUUUCAUUUAAAACAUUUCUAACCCCUCACUGUAAAACGUGUAUACUUUCCUAGAAAAUAACAUAAUAGUAUAUAAAACCUCAUACGUCACAAAUCACCAAUCUAUCACAAAUCCAGGAAUAUGCCAUGCCAUAAAUGUCAAUAACAAAACGCUGAUGCAUCAAAAUAACAGGUGACAUAAUGAAUCAACCGGAGACCCUGCAAUUGGUCCUGUAUGGUUGAUUCCAUAGCUCAACAUCCAACCCAGCCGGAGUCACCACGGUGACCUGUACGGCACUACUCUGCACAUAAGUCGGAACUACCUGAAGUAGUCUGUACGACGAGGAUGGUGUAAUGAUACGCUCUAGUGCUUCUCUCAUCAAUCAUCUGCGCACGUAAUCUAAGGUCACCUACUAGUCGGAACCACCUCUAGUGGUCUGUACGACUAGCGUGUCGGAACCUUCUCAUGGUUUGUACGACAUGCACCAACUUGGAUCCAAGGUGAGCGUGCGGUGCAGUGAAUAAUAUAAGCACUAACACCGGGGUGCAGGUUAUGAGUUCUCGACAAUUCACAUUAUCGAUGAUUCACAUGAUUAACAUAAAACUCACCUGAUACUCACUUGUGCGUCCACAACACCAAUUCAUAUAUAUAUAUGCAUCAAUUUCAAUUCAUAUAAUUCAUAAUAUGCAUGCAUGGUGUUUGAAAACAUACUUUCAUAUAAAUUCAAUUUCUGGGAAAAUUAAUAGUAUAUAGAUAUGUACUGAAAAUAAAACUGCCCACUCACCUGGAGUUUGCCCAACAACUCCCUAGCACCACAUAUCAAGGUGUCAUGACGAUCGGCGCCUAGAACAAUAAUCAAAUCCAACCUCAUAAUUCAUAUCGAUAGAAUAUAUAACUUAUAUAAAACACGUCACUACGUAGUUCGAUCCGGAAGAUUUGCAACUUAGAUUUCAAAUCCAUAACUUCCAGAGGUCCACAAUAUACUUCUAGGACAGCAUCCUAAAAUUUCAUUACCAUCCAACGGUUAGAUCUCCGUCAAUUUCCAAAACCAAGUGACGGUUAACAUUCUAUUUUAUGAACUUACAAGUCCAAUUCCGAAAGAUCCGUAAAUAGGAUUCCCGAUCCGUAAGUUCCAAUAAUCCUCAAAUAUUACGUAUUACAACGUAUCAAAGUUUGGUGACGAUCCAACGGUCGGAUCGUCAAUUCACAUUUUUACCUAACCAUGAAUCGAGACGAACUUAGGUUCAAUUACUCAAUUUACGUCCAUCAAUUAUCAAAACUGAACCUAAAACCUUAAACACAUGCUAAGAAUGACAUUGGUGGGCCAUUGGCCAUGCACCGCCGCACGGGCCGCCACGGGUGGCGGUCGGCCGCCCCGGCUCGCAGGAAAAUCAAACUAUUUCAAAAAAUUACCAAAAUUUGUAGAUUUGAAGAUCUCAACGAGUAGAGUAAACUUUAUUACUGAAGCCAAGGCCAAUUUGGCCUGGAAGAGCUCCAAUUUUGCCAAAACCGUGAAGAACCCUAGAAUUGGGUGUUUUCAAUUCGACCUUCAAAUCAACUCCACCGUCCAAAUCAAUGCUUGGGCUUUGUUCCAGGUCCUAAGGGAAUGCUAAUGGUGUUAGUAAUUGAAAGAAAACAUUUCAAAAUUUGAAGAAUUUGAACAAGAAAGUCGCGGCACCCACGGGUGCAUUUUUCACCAAACCACCAUCAAAUUUCAUGAUUUUUGGGGUGAAACAUGAAGAGGGAAGGCCUAGGUGUUGAUUGGGAGUGGUACCUUGAUCCAAUUCGUCGGAAAAUUGAACAAGAACGGUGAGAAACCGCCGGUUUGAAGGCACGGGUCGCACGGGUCAAGGAUGACCCGUUUCCUCCUUUUCCCCCGUUCAUCACUCUCCCUCCUUUCCCUCCUUUCUUCUCCCUCUGAUUGGUCCUCCACCUUCUCUUCUUUCUGGUUGGCCCAACUCCUCCCGCUCUCCUGUUCCGAUUGGGUAGCUUGCCCUUCUCUCCUCCUUUCUGUUUCUCCUCUUCUUUUCUUCACAUACAUACACACACAAAAACCUUUCAACAUCUUUUUAUUUAUUUAUUUAUUUUUUCCUUACAUCCAAGCCAUCCAAAUUUUAAUAAUAAAAUUCAUAAAAUGCCCAAACUUCAAACUUUAAAAUCUUUUUCGUUAUAACUCCAAAUAAUGGACCGUCUGCGCUCACGCUUCCGUAACGACAGGUACUACGAGGAUAUGCCAAGAAAACAAAUCUUAGAUAGCACGACACAAUUAUUAACCUCGACUAAUGCGCGUGCCUCAAAGGGCAUUUUUGAAAAAUCCUUUAUUAAAACUUUAAAAACUCUUAAAAUCAGGGACCAGCUGUCACAAUCUACCCACCUUAAAAAAUUUCGUCCUCGAAAUUUACCCAAUCUUUACAAUCCAUCGAUAUCCAUAAAACAACCUGAAACCCUGUCUCAUUCGAUCUUUCGUCUCCCAAGUAGUUUCUUCUGUUGAAUGAUUCAUUCAUAAAAUUUUCACUAACUUCACUGUUUUAUUCCUUAGAACUUGUCCUUCCAAUCCAAGAUAAUCACUGGUUCCUCAACAUAAAUCAAAUCCGGAUUAACUUCCAAAGAUUAAGGAGGAAUCAUACGCGACAAACCUGCUAUUUUGUAACGAAGCAUCCAAAACAUAAACUACACUAUACACCUUAUCCAAUCCCGAAAGUACUCAAACUUGAAAGUAUUUCACUGAUUCCUUCAAUUAUCAAAGACGGCCUGAUGUACCUAGGAUUUAACCUGUCUUCCAUUUCGACCCGAACCGCAACUUUCCAAGGUGAUAAUUUCAAAAACAUCUAAUCUCCUGCAUUACACGUUCGGUUAGUGGCAUGUUUGUCUGCUAAGCUCUUCAGCCGAUCCUGGCUCACUUCCAGGGUAGACUUAAUUACUUGAAUAUUCCGAGUAGUCUCCUCUACUAACUCAGGGCCUUGAAUACCAUCCGUCCACAAUUUUAACAAUUUCGAAACACAAGACACAGCUUUACACGGCUUUAUAACGUUGCUCUCGGGAACAAACUGAAAGGGCCAACAUACCCAAAAAGUUCAACAGAUCCGUAAGCCCAAAUCUCUUUUCCAUAAGACAUAUAAAUAACUGUGGCACUUCUGGAAAGGUUACUGCUCUUUCAUUGAAGAAUACUGCGCUGAUUUAGUAAGCCAAUCAAUUAACACCUCAAUUUCAUCAUAACCAUCUCGUGAACGAGGAAACUUGCACCCACAAUCUAUAUUAAUAUUUUCUCAUUUCCGCUGUGGAACGGGAAGUAACUACAUCAAUCCAAAAGACUUCUUUCUUUCCGUUUUAACCUGCUGACAGAUGUUACAUAUAUUUAUAUAUACAAACAUUUCUCUUUUCAUACCUGACCAAUAGUAAAAUGAUCGAAUGGUAUAAUACAUCUUAGUACCUCUAGAAUGCAUUGUAUAGGCUGAACAGUACGCAAAUUCCAAAAUUGCUUCCUUUAAUUCCAUAACAUUAGGUGUAAACACCUUGUUCUCUUGCAUAAGCUUGCCAUCUGAUUCUCUAACCCUGAGGUCUUUCUUUUUCCCGUUAUUCCUUGCUUUAAAUAUAUUCUUGAAUUUCUUCGUCAAAUGCUUGAGUCUCGAGUACGACCUACCAAAUAGGCCUAACUUGACAAUUAGAAAGUACAUUUUCUUUUCGGUCUUCCAUUCCCAACUUUACUCCAGUAGAUCUCAAAUCCACAAGAAGAUGAACAUGGCAAUCGUACCAAGCAUUAAUUCUUGCUGGGGUCUUCCUACUAAAAGCAUUGGCCACAACAUUUGCAUGAUCACCCUGGUUGUGCAAUCAUAAUCACUAAGCAACACAAUCCACCUUAGUUGCCUAAGAUUAAGAUACCUCUGAAUAAACAGAUAUUGGAUACUUUUUUUAUUCGUAAAAAUCUUGCACUUUUCUUCCCAUAAAGACAAUGUCUCCAAAUCUUCAAAGCAAAGAUGAUAGUUGCUAAUUAUAAAUCAUGAGUAGGGUAAUUCAUCUCAUGAGGUUUCAGUUGUUGUGAAGUGUAAUAAUCACUCUAUCAUGUUGCAUCAACACACAUCCUAACCCAUUCAAGGAUGCAUCACUGUAAACCUCAUAAUUACCUUUAUCAUCUGGAAGUGCUAAAACAGGUGUAUGAGUGAGAUAAUGCUUCAGUUGCUGAAACUUUGUUCACAAUUUUCAUCCACUCAAACCUAACCUCUUUUCUAGUCGAUCCCGCCAAUGGCAAAGCAAUGACUGAAAAAUCCUUUACCAACGUCUAUAGUAGUCUGCUAGACCAAGAAAACUCAGUACCUCAGUGACGGUUCGAGGUUGUUUCCAAUUCUCCCCAGUUGUCACUCAUUGAGGAUCUACUUGAAUACCUUGUAUAGAUAUCACAUGUCCCAAAAAUGCCACUUGAUUCGUCCAAAAUUGACAUUUGCUAAACUUAGCAUACAACCGAUGUUCCCUCAAACAUUUUAACACCAACUCAAAAUGACUAGUAUGCUUUACUUUCACUUAAGAGUAUACCAGACCUCAACUAUUUCCUUGAAAACACAUAGGCACCUCUAAGCUGAUCAAACAAUCAUCAAUGCACGGCAAUGGAUAACGGUUCUUAUUCGUUACCCGAUUCAAUUACCUAAUAUCCAUACAUAUUCUUAAGGUCCCGUCUUUCUUCCUUAUAAACAAAGCUGGGGUUUUCCAAAGUAACAUACUAGGUUGACUGAAACCUUUAUCAACCAAUUCCUGUGACUGAAUUUUCAAUUCCUUUAACUCUGUAGGAACCAAUCUAUAGCAUAGAGUCUGUACUUGGAGACAAUUCAAUAGUGAACACCACAUCUCUGUCUGGCGGCAAUCCAUGUAAAUCAUUCCGGAACACAUUAGGAAAAUGUCUACCACUCGUACAUCAUCCACAAUACUAGGAGUACGAUCCUGCAACACCCCAUGAGCUAGGUAUCCUUGGCAACCUUUUGAUAACAAUCUCUUUGCUCUCACAACAGAAAUAAUAGCAUGCCUCACUCCACUUGCUCACUUACAAAAGUAACCUCUGAUAAUCCAAGACAAUGGAAAGUAACUGAUUUCCCGUAGCAAUUCAUAUUGGCACGAUUAUAAUGUAACCAAUAUGUGCUUAAAAUCACAUCGAAAUCCACAAUGUCUGACGGGAUAAGAUUCGCUGGCAUAACUACUUCUUCCACCAUCACUGGACACCCUGAAUAAGCAUAACCGACAUAGAAUGACCUACAUGUUUACUUGCUUAACGAAUCCAACAAAUAAGUUAUGGAUAUUACGGUCUGCAGCCCGCAAUAACAAUAACUCACUGUCGUCUCGAUAAGUAAGCAACAAUUCUUAAGGGUGCAAUAUUAUCAUCUUGCUCUUCAUUAGAAAUACAUAUACACUCCUCGAUCGUGCUCAUUCACUACUUUCUUUGGCAACAUCGUCAAUGACAUAAAAUUUCUACAUGACAAUCAAUUAAAACUCUAGCAAAGUAACCAAGAAUGUUUAAUGUGGCCAUGAUUAAGCCCGAAAAAAAAUUUUGAGUAUCAUGUAGCUCUAUGCCCCAUUUGUCCACAUGUAACGCAUCCUCUGCUUUCUCGCCUAUACUGUCUAAAGUGCCUAUUAUUGUACCUACGGCACAAAGGUACAUUUCUUUACCAAUAUUUUCCUGCCUCUGGAAUCUGGAACCUCCAGUGAAACUAUCAUCUCUUCUCAGACUAGUAGUACGAAAGCCUACUAGAAGAAUUAGAAUUAUUUCCACUUCUUUUGAAGUUCUGAGAUGACUGACCUUUACCCUGGGUCAUCCUUCCUCUGAUUCCCAUUCUUUUCUUAUUCCUCUUUAUUCUCGUUGAUCAUGUUCUCAGAGUCCUCAAUGCUCAACAACAUCUCGUAAACUCUUGGUAAAAAGUACAAUGGACAGUGGUCGCCAAAGAACGCCACUUCUUCUUAUUAUCCAGCCAAAAACGACAUAACACCUUGACCGGAUUAGCAACAACAUCCGAAUGGAAACAAGGCAAGUCUGUAAACUCUCUAUAAUAAUAUGCCGGAGGAAUGAACUUUUCCUUAAACAAUUCUUCAAACGACUUCCAAACAGCUGUUCUUCCGAUAACAUCGGAUAACAUUCCUAUCUCCAUCAGAAUACAGAUUCAACACUCAGAAACUAGGUAGUCAUCUCGACCCACCUGUCGGGAAGAAGAUUCCCUUGACUUUGCAUAAUCCGAAACGUCUUUUCUCAAAUGAUUAAGCCAUUGAUCUACUCCCUUAGGUUCUUCAUUUCCCUAAAGUGAUUCAAAUUUAACUUAUAACCAGUCUCAAAAGGUUCCUUUAGAUAAUAGACUGAAUCACAAUGGCAAUAGUUUCCCCCCAAACUACUAUAUCAGGGAAAUUAGGCUCAUCCGAACUACGUGGCUCGCAAUGAGGCGGUAUAGUUCUGACAGAAGACACUAGGAAAUUCUUAAGAUGUCCAGAAUUGCAACCUAGGCACUGAUACCAACUGACACACCCCAUCCCGAAGGAAGGCAUGAUGUCCAUCACGUGAGAGUGACGUAACCAUUUACACAGUUCGGAAGCUAUAAAAAAAAACAAUUACUAAGAUGAAACACCCGAGGGUGAGUCCUACUUUUUUGAAUUCUGUUAGAACACCGUUGGAUUCCUCGUGGCCACCAAAGCUCUGCUAUCUGGAACCUGGAGGGGCGCAAAACAAAAUUGAGUGGGUCAGUAAAACAAAGUUUUUCGAAAACAUUUCAUUUAAACAUUUCUAAACCCUCACUGUAAAACCUGUAUACUUUCCCAGAAAAUAACAUAAUAGUAUAUAAAACCUCAUACGUCACAAAUCACCAAUUUAUCACAAAUCCAGGAAUAUGCCAUGCCAUAAAUGUUAAUAACAAAACGCUGAUGCAUCAAAAUAACAGGUGACAUAAUGAAUCAACCGGAGACCCUACAGUUGGUCCUGUAC
This 6997-nucleotide long non-coding RNA is filed under the name Malus domestica (apple). Its description in RNAcentral is "long non-coding RNA (MDOM_LNC004727)". Lineage: Eukaryota; Viridiplantae; Streptophyta; Magnoliopsida; Rosales; Rosaceae. The record is from RNAcentral.